RNAcentral lists this long non-coding RNA (1021 nucleotides) under Rhinopithecus bieti (black snub-nosed monkey). Its description in RNAcentral is "lncRNA (ENSRBIG00000045199.1)". The record is from RNAcentral. Lineage: Eukaryota; Metazoa; Chordata; Mammalia; Primates; Cercopithecidae.
AUCAUUGCAAUCCCUGCAAAACCAGAUCCAGGACUGGAGAGAGAAAGUAAGGUAUGGGCUGGGGCAUCAACACACAUUUGUGACACUUAUUUGUGCCUCUUUAAUGGCAAGGCCUAGAAGCACAUGCCUGGGGUCAGCUUGCCAUCGUGUGGCCAAACCUAAGGACUGCACAUCUUCCAUCUUGCUUUCCCAGGGCUCCAUGUAGUUGUGGAGACAGGAUUUGGACCCAGGUCUCUCCUCCCACCGAAGUCCAGGGUCUACAGGCCCAAGUUCAAGUCCCGGUUCCUGCACUCCCAGCCAUAUGACCAAAGAGGAUUCAGAUUCUGUCUCCAACUCAUGGGGACAGCAACACACUCGUCUCUCACAGUGAAGACCCAGUAAGAUGUGGCAGCUGUCAGCCGGGCACAGUGGCUCACGCCUGUGAUCCCAGCACUUUGGGAGGCCGAGGCAGGCAAAUCACGAGAUCAGGAGAUCGAGACCAUCCUGGCUAACACAGUGAAACCCCGUCUCUACUAAAAACUACAAAAAAUUAGCCAGGCGUGGUGGUGGGAGCCCGUAGUCCCAGCUACUUGGGAGGCUGAGGCAGGAGAAUUUCUUGAACCCUGGAGCCAGAGGUUGCAGUGAGCCGAGAUCGCGCCACUGCACUCCAGCCUGGGCGACAGAGGGAGACUCUGUCUCAAAAAAAAAGAAAAGAAAAGAAAAGAAAAGAAAAGAAGAGAAGAGAAGAGAAGAGAAGAGAAGAGAAGAGAAGAGAAGAGAAGAAAAGAAAAGAAAAGAAAAGAAAAGGCGGCUGUCACGGCAUGUGGUAACUCCUGUUUGGUUGAUCAGGAGCCCCACCAGGAUCCGCAAAAGGUGUGCUUCCUUCAUGACCGUGCAGUGGUGCCAGCAACAGUGGGGAGCGCGUGGUGUGUCCUCACAGAGGUUUGUGACCCACGUGGAAAUGCCUGGCAGGCUCCCAGGCUUCCCCCACUGGACUCUACCUCCAGAUGCCCAGGACUUGGGACACCAUGCAAAGACCUAG